GAUGAACGCUGGCGGCGUGCUUAACACAUGCAAGUCGAACGGACCAUAUUCGUAUGGUUAGUGGCAGACGGGUGCGUAACACGUAGGUGACCUGCCCUCGAGUGGGGAAUAACUCGACUAACGUCGAGCUAAUACCGCAUAGGUUCGCUCUUUCAUUAGGGUGAGUAAAGCAGCAAUGCGCUUGGGGAUGGGCCUGCGGCGGAUUAGGUAGUUGGUGGGGUAACGGCCUACCAAGCCGAUGAUCCGUAGGGGGCGUGAGAGCGUGGCCCCCCACAUUGGCGACUGAGACACGGGCCGAAACUACCUACCGGGAGGGCAG
RNAcentral lists this ribosomal RNA (319 nucleotides) under uncultured Chloroflexota bacterium. RNAcentral describes it as "bacterial SSU rRNA". It matches the Rfam family "Bacterial small subunit ribosomal RNA", at positions 28 to 354 of the family's 1533-position model. Lineage: Bacteria; Bacillati; Chloroflexota. The record is from RNAcentral.